AUUGAACGCUGGCGGCAGGCCUAACACAUGCAAGUCGAGCGGUAGAGAGAGCUUGCUCUCUUGAGAGCGGCGGACGGGUGAGUAAUGCCUAGGAAUCUGCCUGGUAGUGGGGGAUAACGCUCGGAAACGGACGCUAAUACCGCAUACGUCCUACGGGAGAAAGCAGGGGACCUUCGGGCCUUGCGCUAUCAGAUGAGCCU
RNAcentral lists this ribosomal RNA (200 nucleotides) under uncultured bacterium. Its description in RNAcentral is "partial 16S ribosomal RNA". It matches the Rfam family "Bacterial small subunit ribosomal RNA", at positions 30 to 232 of the family's 1533-position model. The record is from RNAcentral.